Molecule: non-coding RNA, 611 nt
Organism: Maylandia zebra (zebra mbuna)
Lineage: Eukaryota; Metazoa; Chordata; Actinopteri; Cichliformes; Cichlidae
Source: RefSeq, a predicted model, not a curated record
UACAUUAGGAGCUGCUACAGGUGUGGACCCACCACGGUGUGGCAAAUGGGAGUGGUGUUGUAUGAAGCGCUUCAUGCACGAUACUUUAGUACCGCGAGGUUCCUCACAAAGCAACUGAGCAUCAAAAAGCGUCUGUCCACAGAAUGCCGGAAUUUCUUGGACGCAUGUUUAGCUUUAGCCCCGGAGAAGCGCCCAACACUGGAGGAGCUCCAGCUUCACCCCUGGCUAAGAUAACACACACAAACACACAAUUCACACCUUAUCAUGUAAGUGUGAUACAUUGUAGUAACUUCCUUUCUUUUUUCUGUUGGACAGGAAUAGAUAGAGUGGGUCAAUCUUAAAAAAUAAAUAAAUAAAAAUUUAGCUUUUUCGGAGUUCCUGUAACCCCCCCAGCCAUCCCAGGAAAGGGGAUUUCUCUUUGAAUGGGCUUUCCCGAGGUUUCUUCCCAUCGAUCUGGCCCCCUGGGGAGUUUUUCCUCGUCUUCAUAGAGAGCUUGGGCUGGGUCAGGAGCUCCAUCAAAACUGUCUUUAUUUGAUGACAUUAAAGUCAUCAAAUAAAGAUGUGUUUUACUUAAAGUAAAAUUUGAUCAAAAUAAAACUUGUUUAAUUCAU